GUAGGUAACCUACCCUCAGGACUGAGAUAACCCCGGGAAACUGGGGCUAAUAUUAGAUAGAUAAAAGAUACUGGAAUGUUCUUUUAUCCAAAGCUUUUGCGCCUGAGGAUGGGCCUGCGUCCGAUUAGGUUGUUGGUGGGGUAAUGGCCCACCAAGCCUACGAUCGGUACGGGCAGUGAGAGCUGAAGCCCGGAGUUGGGGACUGAGACAAGGCCCCAGGCCCUACGGGGCGCAGCAGGCGCGAAACCUCUGCAAUGCGGGAAACCGUGACAGGGGGAUCCCAAGUGCUCAUGCAUUGCAUGGGCUGUUCUUUGGUCUAAGUAACCAGAGGAGUAAGGGCUGGGCAAGACCGGUGCCAGCCGCCGCGGUAAUACCGGCAGCUCAAGUGGUAGCCGCGAUUAUUGGGCCUAAAGCGUUCGUAGCCGGAUAAGUAAGUCUUUGGUUAAAUCCUGCGACUUAACCGUGGGAAAUCUAGAGAUACUGCUUGUCUUGAGACCGGGAGAGGUUGGAGGUACUCCCAGGGUAGGGGUGAAAUCCUGUAAUCCUGGGGGGACCACCUGUGGCGAAGGCGUCCAACUGGAACGGGU
RNAcentral lists this ribosomal RNA (587 nucleotides) under uncultured archaeon. RNAcentral describes it as "bacterial SSU rRNA". It matches the Rfam family "Archaeal small subunit ribosomal RNA", at positions 100 to 690 of the family's 1478-position model. The record is from RNAcentral.